GAUGAACGCUGGCGGCGUGCCUAAUACAUGCAAGUCGAGCGAACAGAUCAGGAGCUUGCUCCUCUGACGUUAGCGGCGGUCGGGUGAGUCACACGUGGAUAACCUACCUAUAAGACUGGGAUAACUUCGGGAAACCGGAGCUAAUACCGGAUAAUAUAUUGAACCGCAUGGUUCAAUAGUGAAAGACGGUUUUGCUGUCACUUAUAGAUGGAUCCGCGCCGCAUUAGCUAGUUGGUAAGGUAACGGCUUACCAAGGCAACGAUGGGUAGCCGACCUAAGCGGGUGGUCGGCCACACGGGAACUGAGACACGGCCCAGACUCCGACGGGAGGACGCAGUAGGGAAUCUUCCGGGAUGGGCGAGAGCCUGACGGAGCAACGCCGCGUGAGUGAUGAAGGUCUUCGGAUCGGAAAACUCUGUUAUUAGGGAAGAACAAAUGUGUAAGUAACUAUGCACGUCUUGACGGUACCUAAUCAGAAAGCCACGGCUAACUACGUG
This 497-nucleotide ribosomal RNA is filed under the name uncultured bacterium. Its description in RNAcentral is "partial 16S ribosomal RNA". It matches the Rfam family "Bacterial small subunit ribosomal RNA", at positions 28 to 507 of the family's 1533-position model. The record is from RNAcentral.